AGUGAACGCUGGCGGUAGGCCUAACACAUGCAAGUCGAACGGCAGCACAGUAAGAGCUUGCUCUUACGGGUGGCGAGUGGCGGACGGGUGAGGAAUACAUCGGAAUCUACUUUUUCGUGGGGGAUAACGUAGGGAAACUUACGCUAAUACCGCAUACGACCUACGGGUGAAAGCAGGGGAUCUUCGGACCUUGCGCGAUUGAAUGAGCCGAUGUCGGAUUAGCUAGUUGGCGGGGUAAAGGCCCACCAAGGCGACGAUCCGUAGCUGGUCUGAGAGGAUGGAUCGGCCAACUGGGACCUGGAACAGGGUCCAGCCCCCUAGGGGAGGCAGCGGGGGGGAAUAUGGACAAUGGGCGCAAGCCUGAUCCAGCCAUACCGCGUGGGUGAAGAAGGCCUUCGGGUUGUAAAGCCCUUUUGUUGGGAAAGAAAAGCAGCAGGUUAAUACCCCGCUGUUCUGACGGUACCCAAAGAAUAAGCACCGGCUAACUUCGUG
RNAcentral lists this ribosomal RNA (492 nucleotides) under uncultured bacterium. Its description in RNAcentral is "partial 16S ribosomal RNA". It matches the Rfam family "Bacterial small subunit ribosomal RNA", at positions 29 to 507 of the family's 1533-position model. The record is from RNAcentral.